GGCUCAGCCUGAUGGGAGGAAGGAGGAAGAAGGAGGGAGUCAGAGUGGGAACUCCGACUCCCUCCUUCUUCCUCCUUCCUCCCACAGGGCUAUG
Pelobates cultripes (western spadefoot toad) is the source of this 94-nucleotide non-coding RNA. The record is from the annotation of a GenBank genome assembly. Lineage: Eukaryota; Metazoa; Chordata; Amphibia; Anura; Pelobatidae.